Molecule: ribosomal RNA, 803 nt
Filed under: uncultured Bacteroides sp.
Lineage: Bacteria; Pseudomonadati; Bacteroidota; Bacteroidia; Bacteroidales; Bacteroidaceae
Description: bacterial SSU rRNA
Rfam family: Bacterial small subunit ribosomal RNA
Source: RNAcentral
UUUCGGAGCGUAAACUCCUUUUAUCAGGAAAGAAUAAUGACGGUACCUGAUGAAUAAGCACCGGCUAACUCCGUGCCAGCAGCCGCGGUAAUACGGGGGGUGCAAGCGUUACUCGGAAUCACUGGGCGUAAAGGACGCGUAGGCGGAUUAUCAAGUCUUUUGUGAAAUCUAGUGGCUUAACCACUAAACUGCUUAGGAAACUGAUAGUCUAGAGUAGGGGAGAGGUAGAUGGAAUUCUUGGUGUAGGGGUAAAAUCCGUAGAGAUCAAGAAGAAUACCCAUUGCGAAAGCGAUCUGCUGGAACCUAACUGACGCUGAGGCGUGAAAGCGUGGGUAGCAAACAGGAUUAGAUACCCUGGUAGUCCACGCCCUAAACGAUGUAUACUAGUUGUUGCUUUGCUAGUCAAGGCAGUAAUGCAGCUAACGCAUUAAGUAUACCGCCUGGGGAGUACGGUCGCAAGAUUAAAACUCAAAGGAAUAGACGGGGACCCGCACAAGCGGUGGAGCAUGUGGUUUAAUUCGAAGAUACGCGAAGAACCUUACCUGGACUUGACAUCCUAAAAACAUCUAAGAGAUUAGAAAGUGCUAGUUUACUAGAAUUUAGUGACAGGUGCUGCACGGCUGUCGUCAGCUCGUGUCGUGAGAUGUUGGGUUAAGUCCCGCAACGAGCGCAACCCACGUGUUUAGUUGCUAACAGCUCGGCUGAGCACUCUAAACAGACUGCCUUCGUAAGGAGGAGGAAGGUGUGGACGACGUCAAGUCAUCAUGGCCCUUAUGUCCAGGGCGACACACGUGCCUACAAUG